UACAGAGGGUGCAAGCGUUAAUCGGAAUUACUGGGCGUAAAGCGUGCGCAGGCGGUUUUGUAAGUCUGAUGUGAAAGCCCCGGGCUCAACCUGGGAAUUGCAUUGGAGACUGCAAGGCUUGAAUCUGGCAGAGGGGGGUAGAAUUCCACGUGUAGCAGUGAAAUGCGUAGAGAUGUGGAGGAACACCGAUGGCGAAGGCAGCCCCCUGGGUCAAGAUUGACGCUCAUGCACGAAAGCGUGGGGAGCAAACAGG
This 253-nucleotide unclassified non-coding RNA is filed under the name uncultured Gammaproteobacteria bacterium. Its description in RNAcentral is "contains 16S-23S intergenic spacer region". It matches the Rfam family "Bacterial small subunit ribosomal RNA", at positions 524 to 776 of the family's 1533-position model. Lineage: Bacteria; Pseudomonadati; Pseudomonadota; Gammaproteobacteria. The record is from RNAcentral.